This 450-nucleotide ribosomal RNA is filed under the name uncultured prokaryote. RNAcentral's name for it is "bacterial SSU rRNA". It matches the Rfam family "Bacterial small subunit ribosomal RNA", at positions 355 to 796 of the family's 1533-position model. The record is from RNAcentral.
UCGAGAAUCUUCCGCAAUGCGCGCAAGCGUGACGGAGCGACGCCGCGUGGGCGAUGAAGGCCUUCGGGUUGUAAAGCCCUGUUUCCCACUAAGAAUGGCAGUCGGUGAAUAGCCGUGCUGCUUGACGUCAGUGGGGGAGGAAGCACCGGCUAAAUACGUGCCAGCAGCCGCGGUAAUACGUAUGGUGCGAACGUUGUUCGGAAUCACUGGGCAUAAAGAGCACGUAGGCGGUCCGGUAAGUCUGUGUGUGAAAUCCCUCGGCUUAACCGAGGAAUUGCACCGGAUACUGCCGGACUAGAGUGCAGGAGGGGAGAGUGGAAUUCCUGGUGGAGCGGUGAAAUGCGUAGAUAUCAGGAGGAACGCCGGUGGCGAAAGCGACUCUCUGGUCUGCAACUGACGCUGAGGUGCGAAAGCCAGGGGAGCGAACGGGAUUAGAUACCCCCGUAGUCC